CUACGGGAGGCAGCAGUGGGGAAUAUUGGACAAUGGGCGCAAGCCUGAUCCAGCCAUGCCGCGUGUGUGAAGAAGGUCUUCGGAUUGUAAAGCACUUUAAGUUGGGAGGAAGGGCAGUAAGCGAAUACCUUGCUGUUUUGACGUUACCGACAGAAUAAGCACCGGCUAACUCUGUGCCAGCAGGCGCGGUAAU
RNAcentral lists this ribosomal RNA (193 nucleotides) under uncultured bacterium. RNAcentral's name for it is "partial 16S ribosomal RNA". It matches the Rfam family "Bacterial small subunit ribosomal RNA", at positions 339 to 524 of the family's 1533-position model. The record is from RNAcentral.